CAGUAGCCGCGGUAAUACGAAGGGUGCAAGCGUUAAUCGGAAUUAUUGGGCGUAAAGGGCUCGUAGGCGGUUUGUCGCGUCGGGAGUGAAAACUCAGGGCUCAACCCUGAGCGUGCUUCCGAUGCGGGCAGACUAGAGGGAUGCAGGGGAGAACGGAAUUCCUGGUGUAGCGGUGGAAUGCGCAGAUAUCAGGAGGGACACCGGUGGCGAAGGCGGUUCUCUGGGCAUUACCUGACGCUGAGGAGCGAAAGCAUGGGGAGCGAACAGGAUUAGAUACCCGCGUAGUCCCUGUCUCUUAUAC
RNAcentral lists this ribosomal RNA (301 nucleotides) under uncultured bacterium. RNAcentral describes it as "partial 16S ribosomal RNA". It matches the Rfam family "Bacterial small subunit ribosomal RNA", at positions 509 to 807 of the family's 1533-position model. The record is from RNAcentral.